Long non-coding RNA from Alnus glutinosa, 274 nucleotides. RefSeq lists it as uncharacterized. The transcript has 2 exons. The record is from RefSeq and is a predicted model, not a curated record. Lineage: Eukaryota; Viridiplantae; Streptophyta; Magnoliopsida; Fagales; Betulaceae.
GGAAAAGCAGGCCUCUCCCUUUCACGCACAAAAACCAGAAAAUUCUGUCAGAAACUCUCUUGGUCUCUCUUGGUUUCUCUUUUCUUCCUCUCUCUGUGGGUCUUGGAAAUCAGCAGCUCUUUUGAUUGUGGUGGUAACCGCAAUCUCAUGAGAGUUUUUGCAGGAUGGAUUGAUCGACGGAACUACUAGGAAUAUUAUGAUAAUAUUAUUACAGUGUGAUUGAAUUAAGACUUUUAAGUUGAUAUGUAAUAUUUAUGAAAACAGUGUUUAAGUA